This 440-nucleotide ribosomal RNA is filed under the name uncultured bacterium. RNAcentral's name for it is "partial 16S ribosomal RNA". It matches the Rfam family "Bacterial small subunit ribosomal RNA", at positions 338 to 795 of the family's 1533-position model. The record is from RNAcentral.
CCUACGGGCGGCAGCAGUGGGGAAUAUUGCACAAUGGGGGAAACCCUGAUGCAGCGACGCCGCGUGAGUGAAGAAGUAUUUCGGUACGUAAAGCUCUAUCAGCAGGGAAGAAAAUGACGGUACCUGACUAAGAAGCCCCGGCUAACUACGUGCCAGCAGCCGCGGUAAUACGUAGGGGGCAAGCGUUAUCCGGAUUUACUGGGGGUAAAGGGAGUGUAGACGGCAGCGCAAGUCUGGAGUGAAAUCCCAUGGCUUAACCAUGGAACUGCUUUGGAAACUGUGCAGCUAGAGUGCAGGAGAGGUAAGCGGAAUUCCUAGUGUAGCGGUGAAAUGCGUAGAUAUUAGGAGGAACACCAGUGGCGAAGGCGGCUUACUGGACUGUAACUGACGUUGAGGCUCGAAAGCGUGGGGAGCAAACAGGAUUAGAUACCCCUGUAGUC